AAGUCGAACGGUGAAGCCCAGCUUGCUGGGUGGAUCAGUGGCGAACGGGUGAGUAACACGUGAGCAACCUGCCCCUGACUCUGGGAUAAGCGCUGGAAACGGCGUCUAAUACUGGAUAUGUGACGUGACCGCAUGGUCUGCGUCUGGAAAGAAUUUCGGUUGGGGAUGGGCUCGCGGCCUAUCAGCUUGUUGGUGAGGUAAUGGCUCACCAAGGCGUCGACGGGUAGCCGGCCUGAGAGGGUGACCGGCCACACUGGGACUGAGACACGGCCCAGACUCCUACGGGAGGCAGCAGUGGGGAAUAUUGCACAAUGGGCGCAAGCCUGAUGCAGCAACGCCGCGUGAGGGACGACGGCCUUCGGGUUGUAAACCUCUUUUAGCAGGGAAGAAGCGAAAGUGACGGUACCUGCAGAAAAAGCGCCGGCUAACUACGUGCCAGCAGCCGCGGUAAUACGUAGGGCGCAAGCGUUAUCCGGAAUUAUUGGGCGUAAAGAGCUCGUAGGCGGUUUGUCGCGUCUGCUGUGAAAUCCGGAGGCUCAACCUCCGGCCUGCAGUGGGUACGGGCAGACUAGAGUGCGGUAGGGGAGAUUGGAAUUCCUGGUGUAGCGGUGGAAUGCGCAGAUAUCAGGAGGAACACCGAUGGCGAAGGCAGAUCUCUGGGCCGUAACUGACGCUGAGGAGCGAAAGGGUGGGGAGCAAACAGGCUUAGAUACCCUGGUAGUCCACCCCGUAAACGUUGGGAACUAGUUGUGGGGUCCAUUCCACGGAUUCCGUGACGCAGCUAACGCAUUAAGUUCCCCGCCUGGGGAGUACGGCCGCAAGGCUAAAACUCAAAGGAAUUGACGGGGACCCGCACAAGCGGCGGAGCAUGCGGAUUAAUUCGAUGCAACGCGAAGAACCUUACCAAGGCUUGACAUAUACGAGAACGGGCCAGAAAUGGUCAACUCUUUGGACACUCGUAAACAGGUGGGUGCAUGGUUGUCGUCAGCUCGUGUCG
Molecule: ribosomal RNA, 997 nt
Filed under: Microbacterium oxydans
Lineage: Bacteria; Bacillati; Actinomycetota; Actinomycetes; Micrococcales; Microbacteriaceae
Description: bacterial SSU rRNA
Rfam family: Bacterial small subunit ribosomal RNA
Source: RNAcentral